This 253-nucleotide ribosomal RNA is filed under the name uncultured bacterium. RNAcentral's name for it is "partial 16S ribosomal RNA". It matches the Rfam family "Bacterial small subunit ribosomal RNA", at positions 524 to 776 of the family's 1533-position model. The record is from RNAcentral.
UACGUAGGGGGCUAGCGUUGUCCGGAAUCAUUGGGCGUAAAGAGCGUGUAGGCGGCCUGAAAGGUCAGCUGUGAAAACUCGAGGCUCAACCUCGAGACGUCGGUUGAAACCAUCUGGCUAGAGUCCGGAAGAGGAGUGUGGAAUUCCCGGUGUAGCGGUGAAAUGCGCAGAUAUCGGGAAGAACACCCGUGGCGAAGGCGGCACUCUGGGACGGUACUGACGCUGAGACGCGAAAGCGUGGGGAGCGAACAGG